GGUCCCCCCCCCCACCCGCGUCUUCAACGCCAAAGUGUAAAGGGAGCGAGAACUCAACAUGUCUUUUGAACUCUCCUAUCAAACAUUAAAAACUGCUAAUCAAGCGAGAGAAGCGGAAGAAAUUCGAACAGAAGCUCGCCGUAAGAAUCUCUUGAUUCUCAUUCUGCACCACCUAACUGAAGAAGGUUAUAUAGAUACAGCAAAUACUUUGGAACAAGAAACCAAUCUCGGAUUGCGAAAAUUUGAAGUUUGUGAUAAUAUUGAUCUGGAAACGAUCUUAAUGGAAUAUGAAAGCUACUAUUAUGUCAAGUUUCAACGGUUUCCAAAAUUAACUAAAAAAUCAGCUGAUGAUGAAAAUGCAAAAUUACAGCCCCGAAAUGGAGGGAAAAUAAAAAGGACUAUAAGCAGUAAUUCUAAGAUGCUCCCUAAAAUCUCCACAACACAGCGCCCAAAUUCCAAAAUCGGAAUGAAAAAGGCUGAGUUGAAACCUCAAAAACAGGAGAAUGGAUCAUCUGCUCCCGAAACCUCAGAAUUUGGUUUGAAUGUGUCCACUAUUAAAGUUGGAGAUGGGCUUCAUCACAGACGGGGCCAGAUCAUUGACUUGCGUGGCAUGAUUCAGGAUGCAGUUAAAGAUUCGACUCAUGAAAUAGCAGUAAAUAGUUUGAAUUACAACCAAGAUCCAUCAGAGAGAUUAAUAAAGCCACUGGGUGCUUUCAUAGGAGCAACUGGUGAAAUGAGAGAUCUUGCUGUUGUUAUUAGCAGGGAUAUCUAUCUCCAUAAUCCAAAUGUGCGAUGGGAUGACAUAAUUGGGCUGGAGCCAGCCAAACGACUAGUUAAAGAGGCUGUUGUAUACCCUAUUAAGUAUCCUCAGCUCUUUACUGGGAUUCUAUCGCCGUGGAAAGGACUGUUACUUUAUGGACCGCCAGGUACCGGGAAAACAUUGCUUGCAAAGGCUGUGGCUACUGAAUGUAAUACAACCUUCUUCAACAUUUCAGCCUCUACCAUUGUCAGCAAAUGGAGAGGGGAUUCUGAGAAACUUGUCCGGGUGUUGUUUGAACUUGCUCGGUUUCAUGCUCCCUCUACCAUUUUUCUGGAUGAAUUGGAGUCGGUGAUGAGUCAGCGUGGUAGCGUCCCUGGUGGCGAACAUGAAGGAAGUCGGCGGAUGAAGACCGAACUCCUGGUCCAAAUGGAUGGCUUGGCUCGUUCUGAUGAUCUUGUCUUUGUUCUGGCAGCAUCUAAUAUGCCCUGGGAAUUGGACCACGCAAUGUUACGGCGAUUGGAGAAACGAAUUUUAGUAGAUCUUCCUUCCAAAGAAGCACGGCAGGCAAUGAUUUUGCACUGGCUGCCUCCUGUGAGUAACAGUGGUGGUGUAGAGCUUCGGACUGCACUGGAUUAUAGUGUACUAGGCCAAGAAACUGAAGGCUAUUCUGGUUCUGAUCUCAAGUUAGUUUGUAAAGAGUCAGCUAUGCGACCUGUAAGAAAAAUCUUUGAUGCGUUAGAAAAUCAUCAAACAGGAAAAGGCAGCCUGCCCAUUUUUCAUCUGGAAACAAUCUCUACAAACGAUGUUCUCGAUGUGAUAAUUCAUACCAAGCCAUCCGCUAAAGGUCUUGGUCAGAAAUACACUGCCUGGCAGCAUGAAUAUGAGUCCGUAUGAACUGAAGGGUGCAAGGAACAAUUACCUACACUUGUCCAUUGUCCCUUUCAUACUAACGCUGGGCUUGUUAUGAGCACCUUCUGCUGCACUUUCAAAGUAAACUUUUCUCUUUCAAUGUUUCAUUGAAUGUUUACAAGGCUCUACCAUGCUGCAAAGUCCAAAGGGGAACACUUUCUGAAUGAUCCACCAGUGAGAACUAAAACUGAGAUCUAAAGUUGCAGUUCAGACAACAGUCAGAAAAGAACAAUUCCCAUAAGUACAAUUCGGUGACUUAAGAGUGUGUUGAUACAAUCUUCACUGUGAAGGAUUUUAUAAAAUACAGACACACCCAACUGCAAGAGAAUCACUUAAAAAACAAGUCUUUCCUGAAGAGCAGCCAACCAUCAACAUUCUUAUGUCACUACGACAAUAGGCCACUAGGAGCUGAUUUGAGAAAACUUAACAUAGUUUGGAUUUACCUGGAAUUAAGGUUUGUUGAUUCUUUGAUUCAUUCACCAACCACUGUUGAUACUUGACAUACCAAAACUAAGUUGUGUCUUGCAAGGUUGAGGAUUUUGUUUGAUGUCAUUGUUCUAAAACCUGACCAUAAUUUCUAAAAUUUAAAUUACUCUCUUAAAUGUUUGGAUUUUUAAAUGCUCUGUAAAAUUAUAGUUCUGUCUGUAAAUCAUCAGAGAAUUGUACAGAUAAAUACUUUGCUGCCGUUAAAGUUUGAAUCCAACAUUAUUUUUGAAAACAUGAAACAUCUGUGGUUACCUGUUCUUUUUUUGAAAUAGUUAGUUAUAUGGUGACCACUCGUAGCUUUAGUAAGCCACUAGGCCAACAAAUGACAGGGCCGUCAUCCUUUAAAAUGUUGCUGGUUGUAAAGGGCUUGCUGGAAUGUGAGCAGCUGAGGACAAGGAAAUGCCAACACUACUAAUUUACAUACAGUAGCACAGGCAUAUCUUCAUCACAAGGACUGCAGUGGUUCACAUCCAGUUAAAGGUUGCAAUGCAGGGUCGAAGGGCCAAAUGGCCUCCUCCUGCAACCUAUUUUCUACGUUUUCCAAAGAAGUACCAGGAUACCUCUGGCUUUUGAAGUGGUGAAAUGGCUUUUACCUCAGCCAGAGAGGACAGACCCCGCGGGCCAUGUUGAAGUUCACUACAGUUCACCCUCAGUACUGAAGUGAGAUUUUUUGUGCUCUAGGGUGGAAUUUAAAUCCUGACAUUCUGAAUAAAAGUUAGGAGAGGUACCAGCUGAGACAAAACUUCAUUUGCUGUGGAAUAUAGAUUCUAUCAGGGAGGAUGAAGCAAAGUGAAAUAAAUGCAGUAUAGCAUAUUUCUAAUUAACAUAAAAGAAAAUUCAUGUGGAAACUCCCCAUGUUAUAAGAUUGAUCAGAAACAAAGUUGCAGGAUCUUGAGCUAGAAAGGCUAAAAAAUAAAUAAUUUUCCUCAUACAGCACAGGGACAGCACAGUGGGACAGUGGUAGAGUUGUUUAAGAAGGAAAUGCAGAUGCUGGAAAAAUCAAAGGUAGAUAAAGAUGCUGGCGAAACUCAGUGGGUGAGGCAGCAUCUAUGGAGCGAAGGAAGAAGUCUGAAGAAGGGUCUCGACCCGAAACGUCACUUUUUCCUUCGCUCCAUAGAUGCUGCCUCAGCCGUUGAGUUUCUCCAGCAUUUUUAUCUACCCAUGAUAUUGUAGUAGCUGUACAGCUAAGUGAAAUAAUCAAAGACAAAAUUAAGUGUCACACAUGAUGUGUGUGCUGUAUUAACAAAUAGUAACAUUUAAUUUGGUUUAGUUUAUUGCCACGUGUACCGAGGUACAGUGAAAAGCUUUAACAUAUGAAAGAUAGUGAAAAUCGAUCUCCACUAUUAUCUACUCAAGGACAACUGUAUAAAAGCAACAGUUCCUUGGUCACCUCUUUUGCUGCCAAAUUCUGUAUUGUGUAAAAAAUAAAGGAAGAGGAAAACAACCAUAAGCAUUUCAUAUGGUUAGUUAGAAACAAAG
RNA transcript from Leucoraja erinaceus (little skate), 3634 nucleotides. It is a transcript of the gene named katanin p60 subunit A-like 2, with no coding region annotated. The transcript has 17 exons. The record is from RefSeq and is a predicted model, not a curated record. NCBI's taxonomy places the organism in Eukaryota, Metazoa, Chordata, Chondrichthyes, Rajiformes, Rajidae.